CUAGAGUUCAGGAAGUGACUAUGAGCUUUUAAUGACAGGAUAUCUGAAGUUGUUAUACAGAGAGACAGAGAGAUUGAUGAUUUCCCUUUGAACUGUGGGGCAGUGAGUGAUGAGCAUGGGGAGAGAUUCCACCAGGAUAUUGCAGGCAUGGAGAAAAGCUACCAAAGGAAACCGAGUCUGUCCUUGUGUGCCGAUUACUGCUGGAAUCUCCCCAGGGACGGUCCUACUGCAGUCCACAGAGAAAAGCCAAAAAGCGCAAUUUAGAUACCGAAUAAAGAUGGAACCUUGUCAUUUAAUCUGAUGUUAGAGCUGUCAGUCUUUCAUGCAAAAAGCAUAAAAAUGUUACUUGAAAAACCAAUAAAUGAAUGGAAAGUUA
Molecule: long non-coding RNA, 376 nt
Organism: Pantherophis guttatus
Lineage: Eukaryota; Metazoa; Chordata; Lepidosauria; Squamata; Colubridae
Source: RefSeq, a predicted model, not a curated record